GAUGAACGCUGGCGGCGUGCCUAAUACAUGCAAGUCGAACGAGAGCGACCGGUGCUUGCACUGGUCAAUCUAGCGGCGAACGGGUGAGUAACACGUGGGUAACCUGCCCAUCAGAGGGGGAUAACAUCCGGAAACGGAUGCUAAAACCGCAUAAGUCUUCGAGCCGCAUGGCUCGAAGAGGAAAAGAGGCGCAAGCUUCUGCUGAUGGAUGGACCCGCGGUGCAUUAGCUAGUUGGUGAGGUAACGGCUCACCAAGGCCGUGAUGCUUAGCCGACCUGGGGGGUGAAUCGCCAACAUGGAAACGGGAACAGGGCCCGAACCCCUAGGGAGGGCGGCAGUGGGAAAUCUUCGGCAAUGGAGGCAGCUCUGACGAGGCAACGCCGCGGGAGGAAAGAGGGUUUUGGGUUCGAAAAACCCUUUUGUUGGAGAAAAACAAGGGCUAGAGAAACGGUUAGCGCCUGGACGUAAUCAAACCAGAAAGCCACGGCUAACUAGUG
RNAcentral lists this ribosomal RNA (497 nucleotides) under uncultured bacterium. RNAcentral's name for it is "partial 16S ribosomal RNA". It matches the Rfam family "Bacterial small subunit ribosomal RNA", at positions 28 to 507 of the family's 1533-position model. The record is from RNAcentral.